This is a long non-coding RNA of Panicum virgatum (switchgrass), 842 nucleotides long. RefSeq lists it as uncharacterized. The record is from RefSeq and is a predicted model, not a curated record. NCBI's taxonomy places the organism in Eukaryota, Viridiplantae, Streptophyta, Magnoliopsida, Poales, Poaceae. The transcript has 2 exons.
UCUCUUUCUCUCAACCUCCCUAUCAGAUCUGCUCUCCCAACCUCAAAUCAGAUUUGCAUAUACCGUGGCAUGUGUAUGCAUAUAUUGUAUUUCACUAUCUUCUAAAGGCCAGUUUCUAAUACACUCCAUAUAUUUACUAUUUUUUUAUCAAGGCCUGUUGUUUUUUUUGUUGUGUGAUCAUUCUAAUACACUGUGCUCGUGCCAAAAAAUAAAGUGCCUCACGUGUAUAUUGAUUGAUAUAUAGUUAUGACUUAAGUUCUUCACACAUAAUGUUUGUCUCAUUUUUUUAAAGUUAGUAAAGCAAAAAUGCUGAGUUUACUGUCAAAACAUACACCUUACACACUCUCAUUCACAGGUGCUGCAAUGCUCCUUUCUGCCUUAACAUUCUUAAGGCAUUGUAGUAUAUCAUUCUUUCUUGGAGCUGCAUCACCGUAUAGCUAUCAUUCACAGGUGCUUGGCUAUCUCCCUUUGCUGAAUAUUUGAUCCAUGCCUAUCUGCAGCAAAGAGCACUAUGCAUAGGAUCUGGUAUGCGGCAAAUCUGUCAAGAACUGGACCUUGGAGGUAACCUUAGAUUAUAAAUAGGAUAUGUUGUUGAUGUAAUCUGGAUCAUGUAAUAUGUUGUUUAAGGACCCACAGUUAGCUAUUAGUGUAGAAUAGAAGCAACAAUACUGUCAUUUUUGCUUGUAUGAACCAAUGCUAGAGAUGAGGCCGAGUGAACAUAUUGAUGUAACAAUGUAAUGAUCAAAUGUGUUUUUUUUUGUUUUUCUAUAAUUAUUUUCCCUAUCACUAUAUCCCAGUGUGUGGUUAGAGUUGGAAUUGCAGUAGCAUUACCAAUUUAUGUA